Molecule: transfer RNA, 73 nt
Filed under: Candidatus Nomurabacteria bacterium RIFCSPHIGHO2_02_40_30
Lineage: Bacteria; Candidatus Nomuraibacteriota
Also listed under: 5 other names
Description: tRNA-Val
Rfam family: tRNA
About the family: Transfer RNA (tRNA) molecules are approximately 80 nucleotides in length. Their secondary structure includes four short double-helical elements and three loops (D, anti-codon, and T loops). Further hydrogen bonds mediate the characteristic L-shaped molecular structure. tRNAs have two regions of fundamental functional importance: the anti-codon, which is responsible for specific mRNA codon recognition, and the 3' end, to which the tRNAs corresponding amino acid is attached (by aminoacyl-tRNA synthetases). tRNAs cope with the degeneracy of the genetic code in two manners: having more than one tRNA (with a specific anti-codon) for a particular amino acid; and 'wobble' base-pairing, i.e. permitting non-standard base-pairing at the 3rd anti-codon position.
Source: RNAcentral
GCGCGAUUAGCUCAGUUGGUAGAGCAGGAUGUUUACACCAUCAAGGUCGCAGGUUCGAGUCCUGCAUCGCGCA